Molecule: ribosomal RNA, 469 nt
Filed under: uncultured bacterium
Lineage: Bacteria
Description: bacterial SSU rRNA
Rfam family: Bacterial small subunit ribosomal RNA
Source: RNAcentral
CUUCCAGACUCCUACGGGAGGCAGCAGUGAGGAAUAUUGGUCAAUGGCCGGAAGGCUGAACCAGCCAAGUCGCGUGAGGGAAUAAGGCCCUAUGGGUCGUAAACCUCUUUUGUCAGGGAGCAAAGGCGUCCACGAGUGGACGAAAGGAGAGUACCUGAAGAAAAAGCAUCGGCUAACUCCGUGCCAGCAGCCGCGGUAAUACGGAGGAUGCGAGCGUUAUCCGGAUUUAUUGGGUUUAAAGGGUGCGUAGGCGGGCUGUUAAGUCAGCGGUCAAAUGUCGGGGCUCAACCCCGGCCUGCCGUUGAAACUGGCGUUCUUGAGUGGGCGAGAAGUAUGCGGAAUGCGUGGUGUAGCGGUGAAAUGCAUAGAUAUCACGCAGAACUCCGAUUGCGAAGGCAGCAUACCGGCGCUCAACUGACGCUGAGGCACGAAAGUGCGGGUAUCGAACAGGAUUAGAUACCCGAGUACC